RNAcentral lists this ribosomal RNA (490 nucleotides) under uncultured bacterium. Its description in RNAcentral is "bacterial SSU rRNA". It matches the Rfam family "Bacterial small subunit ribosomal RNA", at positions 158 to 646 of the family's 1533-position model. The record is from RNAcentral.
UUCAUAUACUACCCAUUGUAGGUAUCGCUUGAAAGACGGUUUACGCUGUCACUUAUAGAUGGGCCCGCGGCGCAUUAGCUAGUUGGUGAGGUAACGGCUCACCAAGGCGACGAUGCGUAGCCGACCUGAGAGGGUGAUCGGCCACACUGGGACUGAGACACGGCCCAGACUCCUACGGGAGGCAGCAGUAGGGAAUCUUCCGCAAUGGACGAAAGUCUGACGGAGCAACGCCGCGUGAGUGAUGAAGGUUUUCGGAUCGUAAAACUCUGUUGUUAGGGAAGAACAAGUACGAGAGUAACUGCUCGUACCUUGACGGUACCUAACCAGAAAGCCACGGCUAACUACGUGCCAGCAGCCGCGGUAAUACGUAUGUGGCAAGCGUUGUCCCGGAAUUAUUGGGCGUAAAGCGCGCGCAGGCGGUCCUUUUUGAGUCUGAUGUGAAAGCCCACGGCUCAACCGUGGAGGGUCCUUGGGAACUGGGGGACUUGAG